UACGAAGGGGGCAAGCGUUAUUCGGAAUCACUGGGCGUAAAGGGCGCGUAGGCGGCUGGGUAAGUCCGGUGUGAAAACGCUACCGCUCAACGGAGCGAAUGCGCUGGAUACUAUCCAACUUGAGUACGGAAGAGGUGAGUGGAAUGCCUGGUGUAGCGGUGGAAUGCUCAGAUAUCAGGCGGAACACCUGUGGCGAAGGCGACUCACUGGUCCGGUACUGACGCUGAUGCGCGAAAGCGUGGGGAGCAAACGGG
This 254-nucleotide ribosomal RNA is filed under the name uncultured bacterium. RNAcentral describes it as "partial 16S ribosomal RNA". It matches the Rfam family "Bacterial small subunit ribosomal RNA", at positions 524 to 776 of the family's 1533-position model. The record is from RNAcentral.